GGCUAUCACUUUUGGAUGGUCCCGCGGCGUAUUAGCUAGAUGGUGGGGUAACGGCUCACCAUGGCAAUGAUACGUAGCCGACCUGAGAGGGUAAUCGGCCACAUUGGGACUGAGACACGGCCCAAACUCCUACGGGAGGCAGCAGUAGGGAAUCUUCCACAAUGGACGAAAGUCUGAUGGAGCAACGCCGCGUGAGUGAAGAAGGGUUUCGGCUCGUAAAACUCUGUUGUUAAAGAAGAACAUAUCUGAGAGUAACUGUUCAGGUAUUGACGGUAUUUAACCAGAAAGCCACGGCUAACUACGUGCCAGCAGCCGCGGUAAUACGUAGGUGGCAAGCGUUGUCCGGAUUUAUUGGGCGUAAAGCGAGCGCAGGCGGUUUUUUAAGUCUGAUGUGAAAGCCUUCGGCUCAACCGAAGAAGUGCAUCGGAAACUGGGAAACUUGAGUGCAGAAGAGGACAGUGGAACUCCAUGUGUAGCGGUGAAAUGCGUAGAUAUAUGGAAGAACACCAGUGGCGAAGGCGGCUGUCUGGUCUGUAACUGACGCUGAGGCUCGAAAGUAUGGGUAGCAAACAGGAUUAGAUACCCUGGUAGUCCAUACCGUAAACGAUGAAUGCUAAGUGUUGGAGGGUUUCCGCCCUUCAGUGCUGCAGCUAACGCAUUAAGCAUUCCGCCUGGGGAGUACGGCCGCAAGGCUGAAACUCAAAGGAAUUGACGGGGGCCCGCACAAGCGGUGGAGCAUGUGGUUUAAUUCGAAGCUACGCGAAGAACCUUACCAGGUCUUGACAUACUAUGCAAAUCUAAGAGAUUAGACGUUCCCUUCGGGGACAUGGAUACAGGUGGUGCAUGGUUGUCGUCAGCUCGUGUCGUGAGAUGUUGGGUUAAGUCCCGCAACGAGCGCAACCCUUAUUAUCAGUUGCCAGCAUUAAGUUGGGCACUCUGGUGAGACUGCCGGUGACAAACCGGAGGAAGGUGGGGAUGACGUCAAAUCAUCAUGCCCCUUAUGACCUGGGCUACACACGUGCUACAAUGGAUGGUACAACGAGUUGCGAACUCGCGAGAGUAAGCUAAUCUCUUAAAGCCAUUCUCAGUUCGGAUUGUAGGCUGCAACUCGCCUACAUGAAGUCGGAAUCGCUAGUAAUCGCGGAUCAGCAUGCCGCGGUGAAUACGUUCCCGGGCCUUGUACACACCGCCCGUCACACCAUGAGAGUUUGUAACACCCAAAGUCGGUGGGGUAACCUUUUAGGAACCAGCCGCCUAAGGUGGGACAGAUGAUUAGGGUGAAGUCGUAACAAGGUAGCCGUAGGAGAACCUGCGGCUGGAUCACCUCCUUUCUAAGGAA
RNAcentral lists this ribosomal RNA (1339 nucleotides) under Lactiplantibacillus plantarum. Its description in RNAcentral is "bacterial SSU rRNA". It matches the Rfam family "Bacterial small subunit ribosomal RNA", at positions 210 to 1533 of the family's 1533-position model. The record is from RNAcentral. Lineage: Bacteria; Bacillati; Bacillota; Bacilli; Lactobacillales; Lactobacillaceae.